This 86-nucleotide transfer RNA is filed under the name Gekko kaengkrachanense. RNAcentral's name for it is "tRNA-Cys". The record is from RNAcentral. Lineage: Eukaryota; Metazoa; Chordata; Lepidosauria; Squamata; Gekkonidae.
ACGAAGUGAACACGCUAAAGUGCAAAUUUAGAGACGCACUCAGGUAGAGUGCCGGGGCUUCUCCCGUUUUUUCCUAACGGGAGAAG